UACGGAGGGGGCUAGCGUUGUUCGGAAUUACUGGGCGUAAAGCGCACGUAGGCGGCGAUUUAAGUCAGAGGUGAAAGCCCGGGGCUCAACCCCGGAAUAGCCUUUGAGACUGGAUUGCUAGAAUCUUGGAGAGGCGAGUGGAAUUCCGAGUGUAGAGGUGAAAUUCGUAGAUAUUCGGAAGAACACCAGUGGCGAAGGCGGCUCGCUGGACAAGUAGUGGCGCUGAGGUGCGAAAGCGUGGGGAGCAAACAGG
This 253-nucleotide ribosomal RNA is filed under the name uncultured bacterium. Its description in RNAcentral is "partial 16S ribosomal RNA". It matches the Rfam family "Bacterial small subunit ribosomal RNA", at positions 524 to 776 of the family's 1533-position model. The record is from RNAcentral.